Molecule: small nucleolar RNA, 72 nt
Organism: Phyllopteryx taeniolatus (common seadragon)
Lineage: Eukaryota; Metazoa; Chordata; Actinopteri; Syngnathiformes; Syngnathidae
Product: small nucleolar RNA SNORD26
Exons: 1
Source: RefSeq, a predicted model, not a curated record
CUGCUGUGAUGAAUUCUCGAACUCUCUCUUACUGAAUUUAUUUGAAGAGAACUUGAUGAGAUUCUGAGCAGC